Galleria mellonella (greater wax moth) is the source of this 1333-nucleotide long non-coding RNA. RefSeq lists it as uncharacterized. NCBI's taxonomy places the organism in Eukaryota, Metazoa, Arthropoda, Insecta, Lepidoptera, Pyralidae. The record is from RefSeq and is a predicted model, not a curated record. The transcript has 3 exons.
AAAAUUCUUAGACUUUAUCUACAGUAUUAGUAAUGAAGUUAAAAACAGACGUAAAAUAAGCUUCGUUGGAUAAUAAAUCUUGAACGCGGCGGGGAACGCAUUGUGAAUGUUCCUUCGCAAUGUCACUAAUAUCACUAACAAGUAUCAGCCGUUGAAUGUUGAAAUUUUGACAGUCAAAUAUAAUGUGUUUUAUGUCUGCAUUGUCUUGAAAACAGUAUUUACACUUAUUGUCACUAAUAAUAUUGAGUCUGUUGAGGUGAACUGGAACUAAGCAAUGCCCGAAACGAAAACGAUUGAUGAUCGUAAUAAACUUCCUGCCGCAGUAUUUAAAUUUGCUAUACCAAGGUUUAAUUGGCAAGGGGUUAGAAACAAUGCUGGAAGCUGAGAUAUUGGAGGAUACAACAGAAGAAAAUUCUACUGGAUAUAUAAUAUUAUUAAGGACCAUAUUUUUAUUGAAAGACAAUUCCUUCAAACAGAAACGUUGAGCCAAAUGUAAACGUCGGAGGGAUAAUGGAGGUCUAACUUCAUAUAUUGAUGGCUUCACAUUUACACGUACCUGAGUCGGAUAAUGAUAACUGCCCAUCGUGUCAUCAUGGACUUUCCACUCACAAAGAGGAGACAUUGAAGGACUAACUAAAGCUAAAUCUAUUGCUGAUGCUUGCCUGUUUGAGACUGGAAUAGUAGUCGGACUACCAUCAUUCAACACAUAUAAAUUGAAUUCAUCUAUAAGACUGAACAUAAUAUUACCUCUACUAUUGUUUGUGUUACAACCAAACAAAAUAUGAUGUGCGUUGAAAUCACCCAUAAUGAGACAUGGUUUAGGAGUAUCCAGAAGUACUUUUUUAAUUUUAUUGGUGUGAAACUUUCCACUAGGGGGACAAUAUACACACAGAAUAUGUAAUUUACCGAUAGAUGUUUCUAUUGAGAUGCAUAAAUUUUGAACAGCUUCAAAGAAAGUAGUAUUAAUAAUAUUAUAUUUAAAAUUUUUCUUAAUUAAUAUACCAAUUCCGUUGUGUGGAUUUGUAGAAUUUUUGAAAAUAAAAUUAUAUGAUGCAAACCUAGGAAUUUUACUAUUACUUUUAAACCAUGUCUCAUUAAGUAAGCAUAUAUCAAUAUUUUGUUCAGUAAGAUAUUUUUGUAACAGAACUUUUUUACUCUGUAAGCUUUGUAUGUUAAAUUGUGCUAUGUUUAUAUAUGUAUCCAUAAAACUAAGUUAAAUUAGACAAUAAUAUUUCUUUAAUUUUCUUAUGAGUUAUUGACAUUUUCUCAUUGUUGUUCCCAAGAGCAACAAGAGAUUUAACGAGAGCAUUAAUUAUAAUAUCAUUAUUUACAA